AUGAUUAGUUCUUGGUGUGUUCUCUCCCUUUCUUUGGACUUUGGCUUGGCAGAGAGAGAAACCGUCGCCUUAACCGAUUGUGGAGGAAUAACAGAAAGUCAAGACCAAUACUUGGAGAAAAACAAACACAUCUUUCCGGUUAUAUGGAUGAUACUAUCUGCAAUUAAGAGAUUCUUGGAGUCCUUCCUGUUGGAUUCAACCCCCUCCUGUCCAGUGAGGAUGUCCUGUCAGUGUGACUGACGGUGGAGAAACCAGGCGCGGGAGAGGGAGAGGGAAGAGCUUAUUUUGCCCCACAGCCCAAUGUAUGGCUAGAUCCCACUCAACGUUCCAGUUGAGCAAAGCCUCCGGUGAUAUUUCUCCAGGACUGCUUCUACCGAGGGGUCAACCCUGAGAGCCUCAUCUUUGGUAACAACAUAGGAAGGUAUGUCUCCUAACCCUUUGUCAUGUGGACAACAAGAACUAUUUAAUUAUCAUUAAUGAAGUUGCUGGGAUAAUGUUAACUUGCAUUUUCAAAUUGGGGAACAAAAACCUAGUAAUAUAUUUGGUGGCUAAUGAGCAGGGGUGGGAAACUCUGGCCCUCAAGGUCUACUCUCAAAACUUGCUGAGUAGGAACGGGCAAAACAGACGGAUUUUAGGGGAAAAUGCCUCGCAUGUAAUCCUCUAACAGCAGGGGUGGACAACUCUGGCCCUCAAGCUCCACUUUCCAGCAGAGUUUAGCUGCAAUCUUAAUUAAACCUGAAAAAUCAAAAGGAAAGUCUUUAGGAUUAC
Long non-coding RNA from Cyprinus carpio (common carp), 768 nucleotides. The record is from Ensembl. NCBI's taxonomy places the organism in Eukaryota, Metazoa, Chordata, Actinopteri, Cypriniformes, Cyprinidae.